This 403-nucleotide ribosomal RNA is filed under the name uncultured bacterium. Its description in RNAcentral is "partial 16S ribosomal RNA". It matches the Rfam family "Bacterial small subunit ribosomal RNA", at positions 28 to 526 of the family's 1533-position model. The record is from RNAcentral.
GACGCACGCUGGCGGCGUGCCUAAUACAUGCAAGUCGAACGCAGUGGGGACGGGUGAGUAACACGUGGGUAACCUCCCAUCAGAGGGGAUAACACUUGGAAACAGGUGCUAAACCGAUACUGAUGGAUGGACCCGCGGUGCCUUAGCUAGUUGGUGAGGUAACGGAUGACCAAGGCCACGAUGCAUAGACGACCUGAGAGGGUGAACGGCCACACGGGGACUGAGAAACGGCCCAGACUCCUACGGGAGGCAGCAGUAGGGAAUCUUCGGCAAUGGACGAAAGUCUGACAGAGCAACGCCGCGUGAGGGAAGAAGGUUUGCGGACCGUAAAACUCUGUUGUUAGAGAAGCGGUAUCUAGCCAGAAAGCCACGGCUAACUACGUGCCAGCAGCCGCGGUAAUUC